RNAcentral lists this ribosomal RNA (705 nucleotides) under uncultured archaeon. Its description in RNAcentral is "bacterial SSU rRNA". It matches the Rfam family "Archaeal small subunit ribosomal RNA", at positions 156 to 848 of the family's 1478-position model. The record is from RNAcentral.
GUGAGGAGGCCUGGAACGGUUCCUAGUCGAAAAGGCGUUGAAACCAUGCUUUUCGACGUCGCCUAAGGAUGGGGCCGCGCCCGAUCAGGUUGUUGGUGGGGUAACGGCUCACCAAGCCUAUAACCGGUACGGGCCGUGAGAGCGGGAGCCCGGAGAUGGGCACUGAGACAAGGGCCCAGGCCCUACGGGGCGCAGCAGUCGCGAAAACUCCGCAAUGCGCGAAAGCGUGACGGGGCUACCCCGAGUGCCGUCCGCUGAGGAUGGCUUUUCCCCGGUGUAAUGAGCCGGGGGAAUAAGGAGAGGGCAAGCCUGGUGUCAGCCGCCGCGGUAAUACCAGCUCUCCGAGUGGUAGGGAUGAUUAUUGGGCUUAAAGCGUCCGUAGCCGGCUUAGCAAGUCUCCUGUUAAAUUCAGCGACCUAAUCGUUGAGCCGCGGGAGACACUACUAGGCUAGGAGGCGGGAGAGGCCGACGGUAUUCUCGGGGUAGGGGUGAAAUCCUAUAAUCCCGGGAGGACCACCAGUGGCGAAGGCUGUCGGCUAGAACGCGCUCGACGGUGAGGGACGAAAGCUGGGGGAGCGAACCGGAUUAGAUACCCGGGUAGUCUGAGCUGUAAACGAUGCGGGCUAGGUGUUGGGGUGGCUACGAGCCACUUCAGUGCCGCAGGGAAGCCAUUAAGCCCGCCGCCUGGGGAGUACGGCCGCAAGG